Molecule: ribosomal RNA, 467 nt
Filed under: uncultured bacterium
Lineage: Bacteria
Description: partial 16S ribosomal RNA
Rfam family: Bacterial small subunit ribosomal RNA
Source: RNAcentral
ACGAACGCUGGCGGCGUGCUUCACCCCUGCCAGUCGAACGGAAAGGCCCUGCUUUUGUGGGGUGCUCGAGUGGCGAACGUGUGAGUAACACGUGAGUAACCUGCCCUUGACUUUGGGAUAACUUCAGGAAACUGGGGCUAAUACCGGAUAGGAGCUCCUGCUGCAUGGUGGGGGUUGGAAAGUUUCGGCGGUUGGGGAUGGACUCGCGGCUUAUCAGCUUGUUGGUGGGGUAGUGGCUUACCAAGGCUUUGACGGGUAGCCGGCCUGAGAGGGUGACCGGCCACAUUGGGACUGAGAUACGGCCCAGACUCCUACGGGAGGCAGCAGUGGGGAAUAUUGCACAAUGGGCGGAAGCCUGAUGCAGCAACGCCGCGUGCGGGAUGACGGCCUUCGGGUUGUAAACCGCUUUCGCCUGUGACGAAGCGUGAGUGACGGUAAUGGGUAAAGAAGCACCGGCUAACUACGUG